Molecule: non-coding RNA, 695 nt
Organism: Marmota flaviventris (yellow-bellied marmot)
Lineage: Eukaryota; Metazoa; Chordata; Mammalia; Rodentia; Sciuridae
Source: RefSeq, a predicted model, not a curated record
GGGCCGCGCGCGCCUCAGUCUCAGACCCCUUGCCCCGCGGCCAGGCGGUGCUCUCCCUCCAAGAUCUAGGUCCCCGCGGGCGGGCAGGAAGUGAGGGCUCCGGAAACCUCCGCAGAUGCUCUUGGGGCACCCGGCUGGGCUGCGCGGCCACCUUCGAGGGGGUGGGGGCGGGUUCCGGCUUAGGGGACCGACGCCUGCCACCCCCUCCGCGCUGGGUCCUUCCAGGCUUCUUGCUGCGGUGCGGUCCCAUCCAUUUCUGCAAGCCUUAGCCAGCCUCAUUCGCAGUCCAAGCUGGAACCCCGCGCCGCGCUGCGACCCGCGGGUAUCAUGCAGGUGCAGCAGACACUGAGACCUGCUGGCCGGGAACCGGCCGAGCACUCUGAAGUCCAGCCUCCUAGCCGAUCCAGGGGUCUCCCCUCAGGGCGCAGUAAAACCCUCAAGAACCAUUCCAGGCCUCUGGAAGUGAGCAGAGGGAAGCCAGCUGCCCCUUACUGCCCUGUGCUCCACGGCCUGUGGAUGAGGCUUGUGUGUCCUCUAGGUGCUACCUGCACAGCUUUUGGGAAGGGGCUGAUGGGGUUCUGCACCCUGGCUCUGCCCCUUCAUAGCUGUGUGACCCCAGACAAGCCCCUGGGCCUUUCUAUGCCUUGGUUUCCUCAUUGUCAAUGAGGCCGCAAUAAAACCAUCUCUUAGAGUUG